Saimiri boliviensis boliviensis (Bolivian squirrel monkey) is the source of this 1851-nucleotide non-coding RNA. Lineage: Eukaryota; Metazoa; Chordata; Mammalia; Primates; Cebidae. The record is from RefSeq and is a predicted model, not a curated record.
CUUUAGGUGCUGGAAUACAUGUGCAGAUAAUGCAGGGUUUUUGCAUAGGAACCCAUGGCACCUGCCGUUGUUUGGGCAGAUUGUGAGCCCAUAGCUCACCUGGACUACUUCAAAUCCGGCCGGAAUCUUUUGGGAAAUGGAUUCCUCCAUUUCCUGCAGAAGGACUACAGUGACAUAUUUAAGGCAGAUGCUGCUCUCCUUCAACCUUGCAGGAGGUCUGUGGGCGGUCAGGGUAGCUGUGAAGACUUUCAGUCAGGUGCUGAUCUCCUUCAACCCUGGGACAGGGUUAGGGAGGGAGGCGGUGAGAGCCACCAGGUCACUGACAGGCACUUUGAACCUUCAGAAUGUGUGGAACUGCCAUAUGGGAAAAUGUUAGUUACACUUGAUACAUGGUCUAUGAUGGGAGGCUCUCAAAGUCUCUGAGGUUUCUGAGGUUGAGAUUUCCUGCCCCCUAUAAAAUCCAAGAACUGUAUCUUUGAUGGUCCUGAGUGAAGCUUUGAGGGCAUCAGAAAAUAGGAAGCCACCCUCCACUGGUAGGUGGCCUAGGCUGCUCUGCCCAUCACCCAUCACCAUGGUGGCUCAUGAGAACAGCACUGUGGGUGGCUUUCAGAUUUGCUCCUGGGGUAACCAUGGUACUAGCCAGGUUAGACCAUUACAAUCAAAUAGUGGGUAUGUUUUCCAUAAUUAACAUAAGAAAAAAUAACAUAACCCACUAGAUAGACUUUUCCCAGGUAAAAUUUUUCUGCCAUAAACUUUCCUUUAAUCUCUGGUGCCUACCUCAACCUAUCUGCCACUGUGCCCUAUGGAUAAAACAAAUGAGCAGGGAGCAAAUGAAGAGUAGCGGCCAAACCCAGGAGGGAAGGAGCAUGCUAAGUUCAAGAGCUGGUGCUUUCCUGGAUCUGCAGAGAGAAGUGGGCUGAAAAGGAGGAGUGGUUAAGGAAACCUACUCAGCUGUGCUUACAUGUGACAUUUGGAAAGAAUGACUUCUGAAACCUGCAGUCCUGCCCCUGGCCGGCUGCCUCCUUUUCUCCCUGCGUUUGUAGGCUGCCCACUCCACCCUGGGCACAUGCCAAGAUGCCUUGUGCCACCUUGGACCCUGCUUCAACUCAGGGGCUGUAUGCUGCAAGCAGAGGCUUUGAGACCAGCUUCUACAUGGCGGGGGAUGGAAGGUUCUCUGCACUGACCCUGGAGAAUAAUUUCUGCAUGCGGCCCUGCAGGAGACAGGCUUGGAGUUUGAGAAGCUGGAGAAGGCUCAACAGACAGCUGAGAGCCACUUCCACAACUGCUCAGAUGACCCGGGGAUGUUCUCUGUGGACCAGCGAAGAGACUGGUGCAGCGGGCUCGGGAGGAGCUGGGGGCACACGGGGGCAGGAUUUUCAGCCGCCAUUCUGCUACCUCAUUUGCUUUCCUCCCCAUUUAGUCAGUUAUAUUUAGAACCCUUACCAGCAAAUGCUUUUAGAGUCUUAUUAUACAUGAUUGCCAGGUAAAUAAGAAUGUUGAUCUCAAACAGAGGGGUUUAUAAUAUGCUCCACUAAUGGCCCAGGGAGGAGGAGAAAGAACUGGACCAGAGAAAUAAAGCUGUGCUUCUUCUCAUUUCAAGGGCUCUACAGGAUUGCAUAGAGAAGAGUGGGGAGCCCCCCCAUGAUCUCCUAGCUUAGGCAAUUUGUCACCACACAAUUUCUGAGCCCAUUCAGCACCUCCGUCUAAUACUGCAGCCCCACCCCAUGAAAUGAGAAGAGCACAGGUGUCCGCAUCAAGAGAUAUGGAUUUUCCUCUUUGGCUCUCUGACUUAUUUGCUCUGUGACCUUUAGUGGGUUAUUAACAUCUCAGAGCCUCAGUUUCUCAUCUCGA